GCCCGUUGUGCUCCACUACUGCUGCGUCGCCCUCCCCCUUUACGCUCCACCUGUUCUCAUGCUCGUUGUCAUGCGAGGAUGAUGUGGAAGAGAGGUCUGAAGAAGGUGUGGAGGAUUUCAAGUUUUUAUUCUUUCUUAAGAAAAGAAUAGAGAGAGACGUUUACAGGUCACUUGAACGUUGUCCUGUUUUCUUUUUUUGUUCUAUUUUGUUUUGUUUCAACGUUUAAGUAUUCAUAACACCCUGGAAAAUGAGAGCUGUAUAUGACAGCAGGAACCCCAAGGUCAAGCGUCAUUCAUGAGUGCGUGUAUGACAAUUAGAAAGUCGUUCCGAGCGGGUGCACGUGAACUAUAAACAAAAAAAUAACUACGCAAAUUAUGCACCAAAUAAACAAAGCAACGGCAGUAGCAGUGAAAAGAUAACUUCGUAAAACAAACAAGCCAACAAAGAAGAAAAAGAAAGAAAAACAAAAAACAAAAACUGUAAUCACAACUGGAAAGAAAGAGACAGGAGGAACAAUAAAGAGAAAACAAUAAACGUGAAAAACACAUCCGUUGGUAUAUUUUGAGUUGUUUGUUUGUUUCUUUCUUUCUUUCACGCGUAUUGCAACUUUGUGACUUGUUGAUCCACGUGCUACACAGCUCUCGUGCGGAUCAAUCAUUAUUGACAUUUCACUACGUUGAACUAUGGAAAUGUGACUUUGGAAAAUCAUGAUCUUUUCCUGUUGCACAAAGAGACAAUAUUCAGUAUUUUCAUGGAUCAGCUUUAUGAAGAUUACGUCAUGCAAUUAUGAAAUCAUUUAAUAUAUCGCUAACGGAGGAGAAAUAAGUACAUCACUCUUCUUCAUCGUUAUACUUAUUUUCAAAGUUAUUAUCUUCAAAGUAUGUUUUUAGUUACGAAGAAAUGAAUAAACUCGCGGGUCUUAUGUUAAUCUCAAACCACUUCGCAAAGCAAUUUGUUUUAUUUGGAAAUACUGGCAACACUUCACCUUGAGCACUUUCUUGUAAUUAUGAAUCCAAGGAAUAAAAUGAUCGAGAAAUAUCUGGUCCGGGUGUGAUUUCGAAAACUUUUGUGCAAUUUGUCAAGAGUCAAAAAAAAAAAAAAAAAAAAAAAAAAAAAGAAAAAAAAAGGUUAAAGAGAAAUUAAGAGAAAACAAUUGCAAAUAAAAUCAUGCCGUGAUUUAUUGUACUUUGAACUGAGAUCUUGACAGUAAUAACGAUAAUGGGAGUUUGAAAUGGAAAAGAAUAAAUCGUUUAUUCAAGCAUGAGACGAAGUACGGAAUUAUAAACAAAAUUUGGAGGCGUUGAUUAAAGAAACAAGUUCUGGUUUUCAAUAUAAUUUUUGUUCAAAGAAAAGUCUGCAGAAGAGAAAGAGAAGGGUAGAAAAAGCACGAGAGAAAGAGAAAGAAAAAGAAAACCACAAGAUACGUUUCCAGUGACAUAUGAAAAUAAAUCUCAUACCUUUAUUACAUUCAAACCAUCUAAGUCACCGCAGACUUCAAAAGAACAACAACAACAACAACAACAAAAAUAAAUAAAUAAAGGCAGAGACAAAGAACGCCCGAGCGAGCCCCUGAGAAGUAUCUCAGAUAAAAGAUAUUGGUUACUUAAAAGGAGUUUCCAGAACCAUAUCCUGAAUCAGUGGGACACAAGCAGUAUAAGCGAACAGCUUCAUUCGGGUCGGAAGGGGAUGAGGCUGACGUGUUCGUUUGGUUUGUUAUGAAGAUGUGCAUCUUCUUCACUCCAACGGAACCAGGAUUACUUUCCCUGCCCCAUGUCAUCACACAAGCAGAUCUACUUCGAGCAGUGGUGAAUAGUGACUAGAAGGAAUUCACUAUGACGAUAUCAAGCCUUCCUGAAAAUGAGACUCUUACUAACUUGGUGGAGUCCGACCUCAACGUCUCCGGUCUCGAAGAAGGGGCUCUGCUCACGGGCGGACUCUCUGACUUCGAGGUCGCGAUGCCCGUGUGGGAGAUCGUGGUGACCGUGGUCUCCCUCAGCGUCAUCAUCAUCUUCACCAUCAUCGGCAACGUCCUCG
Molecule: long non-coding RNA, 2035 nt
Filed under: Penaeus japonicus
Lineage: Eukaryota; Metazoa; Arthropoda; Malacostraca; Decapoda; Penaeidae
Description: uncharacterized LOC122246296
Source: RNAcentral